RNAcentral lists this ribosomal RNA (248 nucleotides) under uncultured Muribaculaceae bacterium. RNAcentral describes it as "partial 16S ribosomal RNA". It matches the Rfam family "Bacterial small subunit ribosomal RNA", at positions 524 to 772 of the family's 1533-position model. Lineage: Bacteria; Pseudomonadati; Bacteroidota; Bacteroidia; Bacteroidales; Muribaculaceae. The record is from RNAcentral.
UACGGAGGAUGCGAGCGUUAUCCGGAUUUAUUGGGUUUAAAGGGUGCGUAGGCGGCGAGUUAAGUCAGCGGUAAAAGCCCGGGGCUCAACCCCGGCCCGCCGUUGAAACUGGCUUGCUUGAGUUGGAGAGAAGUAGGCGGAAUGCGCGGUGUAGCGGUGAAAUGCUUAGAUAUCGCGCAGAACUCCGAUUGCGAAGGCAGCCUACCGGCUCCACACUGACGCUGAGGCACGAAAGCGUGGGUAUCGAA